AGCCCACUAUACUUCUUAGAUUCAUGACCAGAAGAUAACAUAUAUAAUUAAAGUAGAGAUUUUUUUAGUAAAUAUUAAAUGGCUAACGCUAACAGAGGAAUGGGUUAGUUAAAAAGGAUAUGAAAAGGACCUUUGACAAGAAUGUGUUGUCACACCAUUCCAGGCUGUCUAGGAGCUCUUAAGUACGAGGUCAACAUCAACAUGGAGCA
RNAcentral lists this long non-coding RNA (209 nucleotides) under Elaeis guineensis (African oil palm). RNAcentral describes it as "long non-coding RNA (EGUI_LNC028919)". Lineage: Eukaryota; Viridiplantae; Streptophyta; Magnoliopsida; Arecales; Arecaceae. The record is from RNAcentral.